Long non-coding RNA from Zeugodacus cucurbitae (melon fly), 1328 nucleotides. RefSeq lists it as uncharacterized. NCBI's taxonomy places the organism in Eukaryota, Metazoa, Arthropoda, Insecta, Diptera, Tephritidae. The transcript is spliced from 3 exons. The record is from RefSeq and is a predicted model, not a curated record.
UUAUAUUUCAACUUACCUUAUUAAGCAUUAAAAAUUCUAUUUCUCCAAACCAAACAUUAAUAUAAGUUUCUGUAGAUUGCUCUCGUGAAUGCAUAAAAAGUCAUUUGCAAAAUGCAAGGAUCAGUUACUUCUUUCAAUGUUCGUUAAAAGUUCAAUAUUUGUAAAAAGACCAUUCAAAAUACAUAUCUAUAAUAUAAAAAUGAAUCGCUAAAUGUGUUGCUAAGCGCAUAAGUCUUUUUGUUAGAAUAUUCCUUGAAGUACAAGGAUGGUUCUUACAGAGAAAAAAAAUUAAAAAAAUGGACUUAAAAAGUCUAAAGAUUAGAUAUAAAAAUGAAUUGAUGUUCGUUAGUUUCGCAAAAAGCGAAAACGGCCAAACCGAUCUGGCUAAUUUUAGUCUUGAAAUAUUUGUGGAAGGAACGGCCAGGAACGGAUUGGAAAAUUUCUUUCACUUCAUGGACUCGAAAGAGGAGCUUAUUCAUCGUGUGUUUUUCCUGACCCGAAGCCAAGGUAUAAUAACCAUAGAUGGCUGAGUUGAAUUUUCUAUAUUGGUGGUAAAAAACAAAGGAGAGUUGACACAGCUACAAACCAGACUGACGUAAUCAAUUAUCCCACAGACUAUUUAAAAUUGCCUGAACUAAAUUAAAAGUAUUGUGAGUUGUCAUCAUGCUGCGUAACAUAAAUCAAUCUCGACUUUGCAAUAGAACAAUACUGACUGUGAAGAAAGUAAUCAAUAUCGGCACCGAAGCCAGGAUUGAGCCAACUUUUAAAUUUGCAAUAAAAUAUAUCUAUUGAUCGAAACAACAAAAAUGAAAUCGAGGAAUUAAAUAUAAAUAAACAUUUCUAAAAACAACAUGAAGAUAAUGUCUUGAUAAUAACUUCAGCCAAUGCGAAUCAAUACAUCAAAGUAAUGUAUUCAUAGGCGUGACUGAACCUUUUCCUAAGUGAUUAGUUUAUACGCAAAUAAGUAUAUUAAAAAACACGUUUGUUAUGUUAUACAUAUGUACAUUAAUUUAUGUUUUUAUGAAUAAUUUACUGGAAGUACUAAGUUUAAACUCAUUUAAAUAGAAAAAAAAUGUUUUAAAGCAUAUUGAUUGUUUCAAUAUUUAUUAAACGAUUUUAACCGCAUGUUAUAUUAAUAUUAAAUUAAAUUUAGUUUUAUAGCAUUUCAAUAAAAUAAAAAUAAUAACCUCCAUAUUUCUAGUUCCUUUUUCGAUACUUAGUUGCUUACAAAUCGCAACUAUAUUUUACCCUAAUUCUCUUUUGUAUUAAUUGGUACAUAAAAUGACUAUUACAAAAACUACAGUUUAUACGCACCCACACACACACAU